UUUACGGGUCAUGCCAUCCUCAAAAAACUAUAAAUAGCCCCUCAUUUCUCUUGAGAGGGGACCCAAUCAAGAGGAAGAUGAGAAGAAGGAUAGGAGGGAAGAAACUCCUCGACCACCGCCGGAAUUCUACCCGACUUCCAUGGGACGCCGGAAUUUUUCCCAACUUCCGUGGGACGCCGAAAUUCUGUCUGAAUUCCACAAUGACGCCUGAAUUUUGCCUGUCUUUCCACUAGACACUAGAACUCUGUCCGACUUCCACUGACGCUGGAAUUCCGCUCGACUUUCCAGUGACGCUAGAACUCUGCCUGGUCUCCAAGUGACUCCGGAGUUCUGUCUAAUCUUUAAGUGAUUCUGAAUUCUUCUCGAAUACAACUUGUUUGUAACUAGAUUCCAAUCCGGAAGUGAAUCAUUGUAAUAUGAUCGUCUUAAAUUUUAAGGACGAGUCAGCCUCUUGUAUUUCAAGCAAAUACUAGUGGAGUUCUUUCAACUGGGCGUGACCCUUGUGAUUUUUUUCCUUUUUCAGGGUUCUCCACGUAAAAAUCCUAGUGUUAUUUCAUCUUCUGUUUGUGUACUGAAUAUCUGUACAAUGCUGAGACGAAAGCUUUUUAACUCUAUUUUCACGUAUAUUCUAGUCCGCAACACUCCUUAAAAAGUAAAAGCCACAUGUGUUGCUCUUAUUCCUAACUCCUAAGAAUAAAAAUGCUCAUAAUAUUUUAAACCCGAGGCCUAUUUUCAUUUACAGUAUCUUUUACAAAAUUAUUGCUAAAAUCAUUACUCCAAGGCUUAAACCUAUCAUGCCUCAUAUUAUUCAUCAUGGACAAACUAUUUUUUGUCAAAAUAGAAUAUCUUCUAACAAUAUAAUCUUGGCUAAUGAGAAUCUGUCUAAAUUUCAUAAUGUUAAAAAGGAGGGGUUCUUUAAAUGUUGUUUCGAGAGACUUUCUUCUCUGUAGAUUGUGUUAGAAAUAUUUUCCUAUUAUUUUUUAUAAGAUGAAUUGAAGCUUCCAUUAAGAAUGUCCAUUACUCUAUUAGUAUAAAUGGUUCUCUUGAAGGGGUUUUGAAUUCCUCCUUUUGCUUAAGACAAGGCUGUCAUUUAUCUCUUUUUUUACGCAUUGUUAUGGUUGGUCUUUCCAAUCUAUUUGAAAGAGCCAUCAUUAGGAAUUCCUACGCUGCCAACAUUAUGGGAGGGUAACAUUUCUCUCAUUUGCUCUAUGCAAAUAACUUAUUAGUCUUUGAGAAAGCUAACCAACCCAACUUUCAUUCACUUGUUGGUAUCUUAACUCACUUCAAAGAAUUAUCAAGGUUGAGUAUCAAUUCCUCCAAAAGUUUUAUUGUCUUCUCUAAGCAUAUCCAAACUAGUCUGAGCUUUGUAAGGAGCUGAAUUUAACGAGAACCAAUCCCUCGCUCACAUAUCUAGGUAUUCCUAUCUCUAUGUAAAGACUGCAUUUGCUGACUUCCAGCUUUUCUUAAGUGAAAUUUAUCUUUUGCUUAAGGGUUGGAAAGCUAAACCACUUUCAUUUGCUGGCAGAAUGCAAUUUCUGAGGUUUACAAUAUUGAAUAAAGUUGCAUUCUUACUUAGGGGGGUGUUAUACUUAAAACCUGCUUCAAAUAGUUAAACAAACUUUUGGCAAGUUUUUUUUAUUUCUUGGUGAUAUUAACACUAGAAAGUUACAUCUCAUAUUUUAGUCCAACACAUUCAAACCAGGUUAUUUAGGUGGUCAUGAUAUUUCUGCUCUUGUUGCACUAAACUAUGCUUAUAAAUGUUCUCUUAUUUGGCUUUUUCUUAUAAGUGAUGGGUUACUUGCCAGAUGGUGGAAUUAUUAGUAUAUAUCUCUAUGAAAACCUUUGUCUCGUUCUUUUUAUUUCUGAAAGAUCUUAAAGUUGUUAGUUGAAUAUUUAUGUCUCACAAAUUAUCUUAUUGUAGGAAGGUCUCUCUUUUUCGGGACUCUUGCUACAACAGUAAAAUUUUAUGAUAAGAUCGGAAACGUGAUAUGUGAAGCUUUUGAUACUAAGAAUUCAGAGAAGUUCAGUUGCAGAUUGAAUGAAGGGAAAAAAGCUAUUUGAUUUUUUAAUUAACUGAUGGUCAGAGCCAUUUCAGCAGCCGUUCAGAUGAUUCUUCGACUGGAACAAAAAACUGCUAAGAUUGCUAUAAUAUGGAGGAUGCACAAACUUGAAAGAACAAAUCAAGUUGCUUGAAAUCCAGCGAACUGCAAAGUUUAGAGGAGUUUAAACUCUGAAAAUCUUCAGCACAUGUAAUCCUCCAAAUUUCUGCAGGGUAGGAACAAUGGAAGUUCGUGAAAGUGAUGACAGACUCCUGAAAGUUGAAAAGGGCAACUGAUGGUUUAGCAACAAAAAGCACAUAUGAAGUAAAUACCAUGCUUUCUAGUUUAAUACUACUGACACUUGGGUUUCGUUUGGGACGGUUUUCUUACUGCUUUUUAAAAUAGUUUUUUAGUACAAAAUUUUUAAUUUUUAUUCUAAAAAGCUGUUUUAAGAAGCAGUAAAAAAGCCGUCCUAAACGAAGCCUUAGUUGGAGCUAUUUAUGGCAAUUGCAGCAUAUUAAAUGGUAAAAAAUUAUGCAAUUUUUUCAGUCUAAUCUAUAACUGAACACUGUCAAGUUACUCUAUUUACGAUUCGAUGAGACCUAAGGAAACAUGAAGUUUGAAAUAA
Dendrobium catenatum is the source of this 2667-nucleotide long non-coding RNA. RefSeq lists it as uncharacterized. The transcript has 3 exons. The record is from RefSeq and is a predicted model, not a curated record. NCBI's taxonomy places the organism in Eukaryota, Viridiplantae, Streptophyta, Magnoliopsida, Asparagales, Orchidaceae.